Molecule: ribosomal RNA, 483 nt
Filed under: uncultured Methanosaeta sp.
Lineage: Archaea; Methanobacteriati; Methanobacteriota; Methanomicrobia; Methanotrichales; Methanotrichaceae
Description: bacterial SSU rRNA
Rfam family: Archaeal small subunit ribosomal RNA
Source: RNAcentral
AACUUAAGGAAUUGACGGGGAGCACCACAACGGGUGGAGCUUGCGGUUUAAUUGGAUUCAACGCCGGAAAUCUUACCGGGACCGACAGCAAUAUGAAGGCCAGGCUGAAGACUUUGCCGGAUUAGCUGAGAGGUGGUGCAUGGCCGUCGUCAGUUCGUACUGUGAAGCAUCCUGUUAAGUCAGGCAACGAGCGAGACCCACGCCCACAGUUGCCAGCGUACUCUCUGGAGUGACGGGUACACUGUGGGACCGCCGCUGCUAAAGCGGAGGAAGGAAUGGGCAACGGUAGGUCAGUAUGCCCCGAAUAUCCCGGGCUACACGCGAGCUACAAUGGUUGGUACAAUGGGUAUCUACCCCGAAAGGGGACGGGAAUCUCCUAAAACCAAUCUUAGUUCGGAUUGAGGGCUGCAACUCGCCCUCAUGAAGCUGGAAUCCGUAGUAAUCGCGUUUCAACAGAACGCGGUGAAUACGUCCCUGCUCCUU